RNAcentral lists this ribosomal RNA (905 nucleotides) under Usnea dasopoga. Its description in RNAcentral is "eukaryotic LSU rRNA". It matches the Rfam family "Eukaryotic large subunit ribosomal RNA", at positions 1 to 921 of the family's 3401-position model. Lineage: Eukaryota; Fungi; Ascomycota; Lecanoromycetes; Lecanorales; Parmeliaceae. The record is from RNAcentral.
AUUGACCUCGGAUCAGGUAGGGAUACCCGCUGAACUUAAGCAUAUCAAUAAGCGGAGGAAAAGAAACCAACAGGGAUUGCCUCAGUAACGGCGAGUGAAGCGGCAACAGCUCAAAUUUGAAAUCUGGCCCCGUCGGGGUCCGAGUUGUAAUUUGUAGAGAGUGUUUCGGGUGAGACCACGGUCUAAGUCUAUUGGAACAUGGCGUCAUAGAGGGUGAGAAUCCCGUAUGUGACCGUGGCUCGAACCCAUGUGAAGCCUCUUCGACGAGUCGAGUUGUUUGGGAAUGCAGCUCAAAAUGGGUGGUAAAUUUCAUCUAAAGCUAAAUACUGGCUGGAGACCGAUAGCGCACAAGUAGAGUGAUCGAAAGAUGAAAAGCACUUUGGAAAGAGAGUCAAAAAGUACGUGAAAUUGUUGAAAGGGAAGCGCUUGCAACCAGACCUGUCCGUAGGUGAUCAGCCGCUGUUCUCAGUGGUGCACUCGCUCUGCGAUCAGGCCAGCAUCGGUUCCGGCGGUCGGAUAAAGGCCUUGGGAAUGUAGCUCCCUUCGGGGAGUCUUAUAGCCCUCGGUGCAAUGCGGCCAGCCGGGACCGAGGACCGCGCUUCGGCUAGGAUGCUGGCGUAAUGGUUGUAAGCGACCCGUCUUGAAACACGGACCAAGGAGUCUAACAUCUAUGCGAGUGUUUGGGUGUUAAACCCAUGCGCGGAAUGAAAGUGAACGGAGGUGAGAACCCUUUAGGGCGCAUCAUCGACCGAUCCAGAUGUCUUCGGAUGGAUUUGAGUAUGAGCAUAGCUGUUGGGACCCGAAAGAUGGUGAACUAUGCCUGAAUAGGGUGAAGCCAGAGGAAACUCUGGUGGAGGCUCGCAGCGGUUCUGACGUGCAAAUCGAUCGUCAAAUUUGGGUAUAGG